CUGUGUGUUGUUGGGUAGGGGAGCGUUCUGUAAGCCUGUGAAGGUGUGUCGUGAGGCAUGCUGGAGGUAUCAGAAGUGCGAAUGCUGACAUAAGUAACGAUAAAGCGGGUGAAAAGCCCGCUCGCCGGAAGACCAAGGGUUCCUGUCCAACGUUAAUCGGGGCAGGGUGAGUCGACCCCUAAGGCGAGGCCGAAAGGCGUAGUCGAUGGGAAACGGGUUAAUAUUCCCGUACUUGGUGUUACUGCGAAGGGGGGACGGAGAAGGCUAUGUUGGCCGGGCGACGGUUGUCCCGGUUUAAGCGUGUAGGUGUGUGUUCCAGGUAAAUCCGGUUCACUUUAACACUGAGGCGUGACGACGAGGCACUACGGUGCUGAAGCAACAAAUGCCCUGCUUCCAGGAAAAGCCUCUAAGCAUCAGGUAACAUCAAAUCGUACCCCAAACCGACACAGGUGGUCAGGUAGAGAAUACCAAGGCGCUUGAGAGA
RNAcentral lists this ribosomal RNA (484 nucleotides) under Salmonella enterica. RNAcentral's name for it is "partial 23S ribosomal RNA". It matches the Rfam family "Bacterial large subunit ribosomal RNA", at positions 1214 to 1697 of the family's 2925-position model. Lineage: Bacteria; Pseudomonadati; Pseudomonadota; Gammaproteobacteria; Enterobacterales; Enterobacteriaceae. The record is from RNAcentral.